This 866-nucleotide ribosomal RNA is filed under the name uncultured eukaryote. Its description in RNAcentral is "bacterial SSU rRNA". It matches the Rfam family "Eukaryotic small subunit ribosomal RNA", at positions 579 to 1474 of the family's 1831-position model. The record is from RNAcentral.
GUAAUUCCAGCUCCAAUAGCGUAUAUUAAAGUUGUUGCAGUUAAAAAGCUCGUAGUUGGAGUUCAGAUUGAGCUCGGCCGGUCGGCCUAAUUGGUCAGAACUGGUUGACUCUGUCUUGUUUGUGGAUCCCUCCGGAGUUAACUCUUCGGAUGUGGAGUCCACAUCGUUUACCUUGAAAAAAUUAGAGUGUUCAAAGCAGGCGUUUGCUUGAAUAUAUUAGCAUGGAAUAAUGGAAUAGGACGCUGGUUCUAUUUUGUUGGUUUUGAGAACCAGAGUAAUGAUUAAUAGGGACAAUUGGGGGCAUUCGUAUCAACACGCUAGAGGUGAAAUUCUUGGAUUGUGUUGCGACGAACUACUGCGAAAGCAUUUGCCAAGGAUGUUUUCAUUGAUCAAGAACGAAAGUAAGGGGAUCGAAGAUGAUUAGAUACCGUCGUAGUCUUUACCACAAACUAUGCCAACUAGAGAUGGGGCAUCGUUCAAUACGACUUGCUCCGCACCUUAUGAGAUAUCAAAGUCUUUGGGUUCCGGGGGGAGUAUGGUCGCAAGUCUGGAACUUAAAGGAAUUGACGGAAGGGCACCACCAGGAGUGGAGCCUGCGGCUUAAUUUGACUCAACACGGGGAAACUCACCAGGUCCAGACAUAAUAAGGAUUGACAGAUUGAUAGCUCUUUCUUGAUUUUAUGGGUGGUGGUGCAUGGCCGUUCUUAGUUCGUGGAGUGAUUUGUCUGCUUAAUUGCGUUAACGAACGAGACCUUAACCUGCUAAAUAGGAGCGUCUAUCUUCGGAUAAGCGCCUUUCUUCUUAGAGGGACUUUGUGCGUUUCAGCAUGAGGAAGUUUGAGGCUAAAACAGGUCUGUGAUGCCCAA